CGGCAACAGCUCAAAUUUGAAAUCUGGCGCCUUAGGCGUCCGAGUUGUAAUUUGCAGAGGGAGUCUCGGGUUAAGGGCCGGCCCAAGUGCCUUGGAACAGGAUACCGCAGAGGGUGAGAGUCCCGUAUCCGGCCGGCGCCCGCGCUCGUGUGAGACCCCUUCGAC
This 165-nucleotide ribosomal RNA is filed under the name Verruconis sp. Its description in RNAcentral is "partial large subunit ribosomal RNA". It matches the Rfam family "Eukaryotic large subunit ribosomal RNA", at positions 99 to 261 of the family's 3401-position model. The record is from RNAcentral. Lineage: Eukaryota; Fungi; Ascomycota; Dothideomycetes; Venturiales; Sympoventuriaceae.